This is an RNA transcript of Gossypium arboreum, 1126 nucleotides long. It is a transcript of the gene named vesicle-associated membrane protein 711-like, with no coding region annotated. Lineage: Eukaryota; Viridiplantae; Streptophyta; Magnoliopsida; Malvales; Malvaceae. The transcript is spliced from 4 exons. The record is from RefSeq and is a predicted model, not a curated record.
UGAGUGAAUUAAUGAUAAGAAGGCGUGUUACAGCUGGUUUUGCACCCUUUCUCUUCUGUUCAUAAUUCCUCUAACUUCAAACCAUGUCCCUUGUAAGUAAGUGAGUGCACAUGUCGUUUUCUCCGCCAAACUCGGACAACAUUAUUUUUCGAAUUCAAAUUUCAAGCGCUUUACCCUUUUUUUUUUCCGCACUGUUUUAAUAAAAAUCCUCCUCAACUUCCCCAACUCCAACUCCAUUACUUCAGAUCUGAAUUCCCAAAUAUAUUUGCACAAUCCAGAGCAGAGUAAUGGGGAUAUUGUACGGGAUGGUAGCAAGGGGGCAGGUGGUGUUGGCCGAGUUCAGCGCAACUCAGACUAAUGCCAUUGCCAGCGUUGUAGCCAGGCUGAUACUGGAGAAGAUGAAAGAAGUGAAGAAUAAUAGUAUUUCAUCGUUUUCACAUCAUCCUUAUAUUUUUCAUGUCAAGGGAACCGAUGGUCUCACCGUUCUUUGCAUGGCCGAUGAUGCCUCCGGAAGGAUAAUCCCUUUCGCUUUCCUUGAAGAUAUCCAUAAAAAAUUUGUAAAGACAUUUGGUCGUGCUGUUCAUUCGGCUUCAGCUUAUGCUAUGAAUGAUGAAUUCUCCAGGGUUCUAUGUCAACAAAUAGAUCAUUUCUCAAGAAACCCAAAUGUUGAUAGAUUAAACCGUUUAAAAGGGGAGAUGAACCAGGUACAGAGUGUAUUGAUUGACAAUAUUGAGAAAGCCUUGGAGAGAGGCGACCGCUUGGCGCUUCUUGUUGAAAAGGCUAUAACAAUGCAGCAGCCUAUGCAGGGGAAUAAUAGUACAGUUGCGCUCAAAAGGAAAGCUCGUAGUUACAGAAAUGCUAUGUGGUGGAGAGAUUGUAAGUUCACGUAAGUAUGCUAAAAAUAUUCUAUUCUGAAACGAAACGUGAAAGAUUACUGGAGGGCGACAUUGAUGCUGUUGUUUUUGCUGACCAUCGUUUAUGUUUCGCUAGCAUUUGUUUGUAAUGGCCUCUUUUUAUCGUCCUGCUUCAAUCAUAUGACAAUGGCUUCCGUUGUUCCUCACAUGUUUUAUGAGUAGCUGUUAGCUGUAAUCCCUAAAUGCCUGUAAUGAUACAAUUCGUUUAGAAA